GCCGCUGCGGUGGAAUCGGUAGACACGCUGCUCUUAGGAAGCAGUGCCAAAGGCCUCUCGGUUCGAGUCCGAGCAGCGGCA
Molecule: transfer RNA, 81 nt
Filed under: Selaginella remotifolia
Lineage: Eukaryota; Viridiplantae; Streptophyta; Lycopodiopsida; Selaginellales; Selaginellaceae
Description: tRNA-Leu
Rfam family: tRNA
About the family: Transfer RNA (tRNA) molecules are approximately 80 nucleotides in length. Their secondary structure includes four short double-helical elements and three loops (D, anti-codon, and T loops).
Source: RNAcentral